GUCAGAGUUUGAUCCUGGCUCAGAUUGAACAACUGGCGGCAUGCCUUACACAUGCAAGUCGAACGGCAGCACGGGUGCUUGCACCUGGUGCGAGUGGCGGAACGGGUGAGUAAUACAUCGGAACGUACCUUAUCGUGGGGGAUAACGCAGCGAAAGUUGCGCUAAUACCGCAUACGCCCUGAGGGGGAAAGCGGGGGAUCGCAAGACCUCGCGCGACUGGAGCGGCCGAUAUCAGAUUAGGUAGUUGGUGGGGUAAAGGCUCACCAAGCCAACGAUCUGUAGCUGGUCUGAGAGGU
Molecule: ribosomal RNA, 296 nt
Filed under: uncultured Burkholderiales bacterium
Lineage: Bacteria; Pseudomonadati; Pseudomonadota; Betaproteobacteria; Burkholderiales
Description: partial 16S ribosomal RNA
Rfam family: Bacterial small subunit ribosomal RNA
Source: RNAcentral